RNAcentral lists this ribosomal RNA (429 nucleotides) under Verrucomicrobiota bacterium. RNAcentral's name for it is "Verrucomicrobia bacterium partial 16S ribosomal RNA". It matches the Rfam family "Bacterial small subunit ribosomal RNA", at positions 355 to 776 of the family's 1533-position model. Lineage: Bacteria; Pseudomonadati; Verrucomicrobiota. The record is from RNAcentral.
UAGGGAAUCUUCCGCAAUGGACGAAAGUCUGACGGAGCAACGCCGCGUGAGUGAAGAAGGAUUUCGGUUCGUAAAACUCUGUUGUUAGGGAAGAAAAAAUGUAUAGUAACUAUAUACAAAAGAGACGGUACCUAACCAGAAAGCCACGGCUAACUACGUGCCAGCAGCCGCGGUAAUACGUAGGUGGCAAGCGUUGUCCGGAAUUAUUGGGCGUAAAGCGCGCGCAGGUGGUUUAGAAAGUCUGAUGUGAAAGCCCACGGCUCAACCGGGGAGGGUCAUUGGAAACUAAUAAACUUGAGUGCAGGAGAGAAAAGUGGAAUUCCUAGUGUAGCGGUGAAAUGCGUAGAGAUUAGGAGGAACACCGGUGGCGAAAGCGGCUUUUUGGCCUGCAACUGACACUGAGGCGCGAAAGCGUGGGGAGCAAACAGG